UUGUGAGUACCACAAGGCCCGGCUGAACACGUUGAUACAACUUCUGUGUUUGUGGAGCCAAAAAUGCCUUCGCUACGACAAGUUAAAAACAUGUCCAGUUUGUGUUUCCUCUGAAAAUCCUCCUCUCAGGUUUACAUUGGAGUCAAUGGAGAAAUCUGGGGGAUGUCUGCGGCAGUUGGUGUCUGCCCAGGCCACUGUUUGUGUCCUACAGCUUUGAUUUUUUGGAAGAAGAGUGACAGCGAGUUUUGCCAUCACUGUACCAAAUUUUAUCUGUGUAGAGCGAAGUGAGUUGCCACAAUCCUUUUGUAAAGACAAAGUUUUGAGGUUAAAUUUUCAGCCCCUCUCACUCUAGCUGUGAGGUCACCCACUCUAGCGGCCAACAUUCCGUGCAAUACACACUAAUGUUAAAACCUGAACAGGUUAGAAAAUCUUUGGCCUUUUGGAACUGUCACUGUGAGAAUAGUAUGAAUGCCAUGAAGAUGGUGAAUGAAUGAGUGAAUGUCUGAAGAUGUGUGAAUAUUUUAAAGUUUGAAUGAAGUUUCUAGGUGAAAGCAUGAAUGAAUGAGAAGAGGUUGAAGUUGACUACAUCUGAAAGCCUUUUCCCAUUGAAUCCCAUUAUAACGAAGUUUUAAACAAAUCUUAAUAUUUUGAAAAGUACAAAUGGGAUUAAAAAUGUUGAAGAUGUGGAAUAAUGCUGACGAAUUUGUGAAUAUUUUGGUUUUUGAAUGAAGUUUCUACGUGGAAGUAUAGAGUAGUUGAAGGCUUUUGAAGUUGUGUGAAGAAAAUGUGAGAAAAGGGACAAUUUGAACAUUCCGUAAUGCAUUUCCAAUGGGAGAAAUCGGUCGGAAAACCUGGAAUAUCUCGGAAAGUAUGAAUGUUAGGAAAUUUUUGAAUACAAGCCGGAAUCUCCUGAAUGAGACGAAUCUUUUGAAGUUUGAAUGGUUUGAAUACGUUGAAGUAUGUGGAAGGAGAAGCGGUCCAAAAAACGGCGGAAUAAUAAUAAUAACUAGAAAAUGCAAUUUCUGAAGAAAUUGCGAGUGGGAUUGCUUCAGUUGAAAUUGCUAUCGCUAAGCUGCUAUUGCGAAUGGAUGAAUUUUAAAAAUUAGUGAAAGGUCAAAAGGUAUGAAGUAUCAGGAAGAUUUGAAUCAGUUUGAAUAAACUCUGUUGAAUGAAUUGAAUAAUGCAUGAAUAAUAAUUUUAAAAAUUCAACAUGUGAAAAUUAAAAUGAUUAAAAACCCUGAAGUAUGGGAAAGGCUUGAAGAAUCAAUAAGGUUUGAAUCAGUUCAAAUGAGUUGAAAUUUGCUUGAAAGAACUGAAUAAUGCAUGAAGAGUAAAAAAUAUUUAAAACUGGAAAAUUAAAAGGUUACAAAUCCGGAAGAAAAAGAGGUUUGAAGAAUCAAAACGGUUUAAAUCAGUUUGAAGAACUAAAUUAUGCAUUUUCAAUGAAUGAUUGAAAAAUGGGGACAAUGUAAAUGAAUAAAAAUCCUGAUUAGACCCCAUAAGGUUUUAAAUGUUACCCCCCGUACUCUGUGUACUGAGCCUGGCUUCAUGUGUCUCAUAUGGCUGUUAGAAGCAGCUUUCCAGCCAGCUGUGUGUCUCCAGGUGCUCCCUUUGGUUGCCAUGGUGACGAUAGAUGCUUAACAACAGCAGGAGAAAGGAGGCUUGAGGCUGAGAACGUAAUGCCCAAACAACGUCAAAUUUCUCAUCCUCUGUAACUGCUAUCUUCAUUAUCAGGAGCUUGUGAGAACCACAAGACCCGGCUGAACACGUUGAUACAACUUCUGUGUCUGUGGAGCCAAAAAUGCCUUCACUACGACGAGUUAAAAACAUGUCCAGUUCAUGUUUCCUCUGAAAAUCCUCCUCUCAGGUUUAUAUUGGAGUCAAUGGAGAAAGCUGGAGAAAUCUGGGGGAUGUCUGCGGCAGUUGGUGUCUGCCCAGGCCACUGUGUGUGUCCUAUGGCUUUGAUUUUUGAGAUGAAGAGUGACAGCAAGUUUUGCCAUCACUGUACCAAUUUUUAUCUGUGUAGAGCGAAGUGAGUUGCCACAAUCCUUUUGUAAAGACAAAGUUUUGAGGAUCAAUUUUCAGCCCCUCUCACUCUAGCUGUGAGGUCACCCACUCUAGCGGCCAACAUUCCGUGCAAUACACACUAAUGUUAAAACCUGAACAGGUCUGAAAAUCUUUGGACUUUUUGAACUGUCACUGUGAGAAAAGUAUGAAUGCCAUGAAGAUGGUGAAUGAAUGAGUGAAUGUCUGAAGAUGUGUGAAUAUUUUAAAGUUUGAAUGAAGUUUCUAGGUGAAAGUAUGAAUGAAUGAGAAGAGGUUGAAGUUGACUACGUCUGAAGCCCUUUUCCCAUUGAAUCCCAUUAUAACGAAGUUUUAAACAAAUCUUAAUAUUUUGAAAAGUACAAAUGGGAUUAAAAAUGUUGAAGAUGUGGAAUAAUGCUGACGAAUUUGUGAAUAUUUUGGUUUUUGAAUAAAGUUUCUACGUGGAAGUAUAGCGGAGUUGAAGGCUUUUGAAGUUUGAAGCCAAUUUGAACAUUCCGUAAUGCAUUUCUAAUGGGAGAAAUCGGUCGGAAAACCUGGAAUAUCUCGGAAAGUAUGAAUGUUCGGAAAAUUUUGAAUACACCCCUGAAUCUCCUCAAUGAGAUGAAUCUUUUGAAGUUUGAAUGGUUUGAAUACGUUGAAGUAUGUGGAAGUAGUUGAGGUCCAAAAAACGGUGGAAGUUGAUAUAAUAAGAAUAACUAGAAAAUGCAAUUUCUGAAGAAAUUGCGAGUGGGAUUGCUUCAGUUGAAAUUGCUAUCACUACGCUGCUAUUGCGAAUGGCUGAAUUUUAAAAUAUGUGAAAGGUCAAAAGGUAUAAAGUAUCGGGAAGAUUUGAAUCAAUUGGAAUAAACUCAAUUGAAUGAUUUGAAUAAUGCAUGAAUAAUAAUUUAGAAAAUUCAAUGUGUGAAAGUUAAAAUGAUUAAAAACCCUGAAGUAUGGGAAAGGCUUGAAGAAUCAAUAAGGUUUGAAUCAGUUUAAAUGAGCUGUAAUUUGUUUGAAAGAACUGAAUAAUGCAUUAAGAGUAAAAAAUGAUUUAAAACUGGAAAAUAAAAAGGUUACAAAUCUGGAAGAAAAAGAGGUUUGAAGAAUCAAAACGGUAUAAAUCAGUUUGAAGGAGUUUAAAUUAGUUUGAAGAGUUAAAUAAUGCAUUUUCAAUGAAUGAUUGAAAAAUGGGGACAAUGUAAAUGAAUAAAAAUCCUGAUUAGACCCCAUAAUGUCCUCAAUGAGCUGAAUUUAUUAAGCCCUGGAUGGUUUCUGUAGCUCAAGGUUUGUGCGAAGAGGUAGAUGACAAAGUUCGUCAAAUAACGCUAUUGAAGGGUUUUAAAUGUCACCCCCAGUACUCUGAGUACUGAGCCUGGCUUCAUGUGUCUCAUAUGGCUGUUAGAAGCAGCUUUCCAGCCAGCUGUGUGUCUCCAGGUGCUCUUAUUGGUUGCCAUGGUGACGAUAGAUGCUUAACAACAGCAGGAGAAAGGAGGCUUGAGGCUGAGAAUGUAAUGCCCAAACAACGUCAUAUUUCUCAUCCUCUGUAACUGCUAUCUUCAUGAUAAUGAGCUUGUGAGAACCACAAGACCCGGCUGAACACGUUGAUACAACUUCUGUGUCUGUGGAGCCAAAAAUGCCUUCACUACGACGAGUUAAAAACAUGUCCAGUUUGUGUUUCCCCUGAAAAUCCUCCUCUCAGGUUUAUAUUGGAGUCAAUGAAGAAAGCUGGAGAAAUCUGGGGGAUGUCUGCGGCAGUUGGUGUCUGCCCAGGCCACUGUGUGUGUCCUAUGGCUUUGAUUUUUGACAUGAAGAGUGACAGCAAGUUUUGCCAUCACUGUACCAAUUUUUAUCUGUGUAGAGCCAAGUGAGUUGCCACAAUCCUUUUGUAAAGACAAAGUUUUGAGGAUCAAUUUUCAGCCUGUCUCACUCUAGCUG
RNAcentral lists this long non-coding RNA (3960 nucleotides) under Xyrichtys novacula (pearly razorfish). Lineage: Eukaryota; Metazoa; Chordata; Actinopteri; Labriformes; Labridae. The record is from RNAcentral.